Molecule: ribosomal RNA, 255 nt
Filed under: uncultured bacterium
Lineage: Bacteria
Description: partial 16S ribosomal RNA
Rfam family: Bacterial small subunit ribosomal RNA
Source: RNAcentral
GACGAACCGUGCGAACGUUUAUUCGGAAUCACUGGGCUUAAAGCGCGUGUAGGCGGGGUGGCACGUCGGUCGCUGAAAGCCCCCGGCUCAACCGGGGAAGGGGCGCCGAUACGACCACCCUGGAGGGACGUAGGGGGACCUGGAACUUCCGGUGGAGCGGUGAAAUGCGUUGAGAUCGGAAGGAACGCCCGUGGCGAAAGCGAGGUCCUGGACGUUUACUGACGCUGAGACGCGAAAGCCAGGGGAGCGAACGGG